Molecule: long non-coding RNA, 692 nt
Organism: Pelmatolapia mariae (spotted tilapia)
Lineage: Eukaryota; Metazoa; Chordata; Actinopteri; Cichliformes; Cichlidae
Exons: 4
Source: RefSeq, a predicted model, not a curated record
UAUAUUUCAAGAGACAGACUUGCUAACUAGAAAAAAACACGUAGCACAUUACCAGCCUUUUUCUUCAGGCCCGUCCUUGGUAGUGCAGGGGUCCUGCAGAGCAGCUCGACCUCAUUCACAGGACAGAAGAGAAGUGAAACUGUGUUACCGAACACGUGGCAAACAUGAAUAAUAAAACGCCGGUGUAGCUUUCGGAAAUGACUCCUCUCUCUGGUUUCUCCUCACAGAGUCACACUUCUGAUGCCUGCGUUCAGACCCGCAGGGAGUCUGACAAGCGGAGCUCCAGGCUGGACCGCCGGCGGGCUCGAUCGGCUGACCUGGAGAAGAUAAGACGCUCGCAGCUGAUGGUGGUGGACGACCACUGGAUGACAGAGUACAUGCGCUGUUUCUCCGCCCGGCUUAGACAUGGCUGGUAAGGACAUGAGGAGGAAACAGUAGGAGCUGUGUGAGGUUACUAAAGGCAGUGGAUCCCUCAGCAGCUGGAUUACAAAGAGCACAGUCUCAGAUCAACACAGCGCUGCCCUCCAGCACUAUCAGCAGCAGGAGCAGCAGCAACCCCUCAACAGCAACAUUGUACCCAUCAGGAGGAGUAAUGACUCAUGUGAGCAGACAGAUGGACGACGGACGGUUCCCCGUGGCAGGAGCUCAUCGGUCCUGCAGCCGGAUGAGCUGAAAUGUGACUUAAUGCUUGA